UACGUAGGGGGCAAGCGUUGUCCGGAUUCAUUGGGCGUAAAGAGCGUGUAGGCGGCCAGGUAGGUCGGUUGUGAAAACUGGAGGCUCAACCUUCAGAGGUCGACCGAAACCAUCUGGCUAGAGUCCGGGAUAGGAGAGUGGAAUUCCUGGUGUAGCGGUGAAAUGCGCAGAUAUCAGGAAGAACACCCGUGGCGAAAGCGGCUCUCUGGAACGGUACUGACGCUGAGACGCGAAAGCGUGGGGAGCGAACAGG
RNAcentral lists this ribosomal RNA (253 nucleotides) under uncultured bacterium. RNAcentral's name for it is "partial 16S ribosomal RNA". It matches the Rfam family "Bacterial small subunit ribosomal RNA", at positions 524 to 776 of the family's 1533-position model. The record is from RNAcentral.